GCGCCGGGGCCCGAGGCCGCUGAGUGCCUGGUGUGCUCCGAGUUGGCGCUGCUGGUGCUGUUCUCGCCGUGCCAGCACCGCACCGUGUGUGAAGGUGAGUGGGGGGCCCCGGGGUGGGGGGCCCGGGUAGUACGGCCCCAGCCAACCGCGUACUCCUCUCCGCAGAGUGCGCGCGCAGGAUGAAGAAGUGCAUCAGGUGCCAGGUGGUCGUCAGCAAGAAACUGCGCGCAGACGGCUCUGAGGUGGCGAGCGCCGCCCCCGCCCCCGGCCCGCCGCGCCAGCUGGUGGAGGAGCUGCAGAGCCGCUACCGGCAGAUGGAGGAGCGUAUCACCUGCCCCAUCUGCAUCGACAGCCACAUCCGCCUCGUGUUCCAGUGCGGCCACGGCGCAUGCGCCCCCUGCGGCUCCGCGCUCAGCGCCUGCCCCAUCUGCCGCCAGCCCAUCCGCGACCGCAUCCAGAUCUUCGUGUGAGCCGCGCCGUCCGCCACGCCCGAGCUGCCUUCGCGUGCCCCCGCCCUGUGUUUUAUAAAAAGAUUCUCGGA
RNAcentral lists this small RNA (541 nucleotides) under Pongo abelii (Sumatran orangutan). RNAcentral describes it as "retained intron". Lineage: Eukaryota; Metazoa; Chordata; Mammalia; Primates; Hominidae. The record is from RNAcentral.